GAUAAACGCUGGCGGCGUGCAUAACACAUGCAAGUCGAACGAUGAAGCUUAACUGAUUUCUUCGGAAUGAUUUUAAGUGGAUUAGUGGCGGACGGGUGAGUAACGCGUGAGUAACCUGCCUUGCACAAGGGGAUAGCCGUUGGAAACGACGAAUAAUACCCUAUGAUAUAAACUCUUCGCAUGAAGAGCUUAUCAAAGAUUUAUCGGUGUAAGAUGGACUCGCGUCUGAUUAGCUAGUUGGUGGGAUAAAAGCCUACCAAGGCAACGAUCAGUAGCC
Molecule: ribosomal RNA, 277 nt
Filed under: uncultured bacterium
Lineage: Bacteria
Description: partial 16S ribosomal RNA
Rfam family: Bacterial small subunit ribosomal RNA
Source: RNAcentral